Molecule: unclassified non-coding RNA, 25 nt
Filed under: Mus musculus (house mouse)
Lineage: Eukaryota; Metazoa; Chordata; Mammalia; Rodentia; Muridae
Description: oocyte_clustered_small_RNA2591
Source: RNAcentral
UGUGUGAUCAGCCCCAGUGUCAGUG